Molecule: long non-coding RNA, 659 nt
Organism: Tribolium madens (black flour beetle)
Lineage: Eukaryota; Metazoa; Arthropoda; Insecta; Coleoptera; Tenebrionidae
Exons: 3
Source: RefSeq, a predicted model, not a curated record
GGUAAUAGGUUUGGUGGCAAUUGCUGUCAUUUGUUAUYUUAUCAGAAAAUUAAUUGCAAUGGUGUUAGUAAUAAUUUACAUUCAAAAAAUGCCAGGCCCACCAAAAUUCAAUUUAUUUGUUGGAAAUAUGCGUCCUUUGCAUGGCACUCCAGUCCAAAUUUUCAACGUUUUACGUAAGUGGGGCCUUGAGUAUAACCCAAUUUACAAGGCAUUGUUAUAUACUCAGCCCGGAAAACUUGGCGGUAAGUCCCUCGAGAAAUAAUGCAAUUUUGAACAAAACUUUCAGCUUAUUUUACCCGACAUGAAACAUUGACAAGUUUUGGAACUCACUAGCAAGUGAGACGGAAAAUUCUAACACCAGCUUUCCAUUACACUAUUUUGCAAGACUUUAUUUUGACUUUUAAUGAAAGUACGGAAGAGUUGGUUGAAAUUUUGAAAAAGGAAGUUGAAAAACCGUUUGUUGAGAUAACUCCAUUGAUUACUCAAUUUGCUUUGAAAGUUAUUGGGGAAACUGCAAUGGGUGUUAAAUUUGACUUUAGUAUACCAAACACCGAAAAGAAUACAAAGAAGCAUUUCACAAACUUAUUUCCAUUCUCAURCACCGAAUAUUUCGACCUUAUUUAAUUUACGACAUUUUCUACAUUUUUAGUCCCAAGUUU